This 58-nucleotide transfer RNA is filed under the name Salmo salar (Atlantic salmon). It matches the Rfam family "tRNA", at positions 8 to 63 of the family's 71-position model. Rfam says of the family: Transfer RNA (tRNA) molecules are approximately 80 nucleotides in length. Their secondary structure includes four short double-helical elements and three loops (D, anti-codon, and T loops). Lineage: Eukaryota; Metazoa; Chordata; Actinopteri; Salmoniformes; Salmonidae. The record is from Rfam by way of RNAcentral.
UGGCUCAGUUGGUAGAGCAUGGUAUUUGUAAUGCCAGGGUUGUGGGUUCAAUUCCCAC